GACGAACGCUGGCGGCGUGCUUAACACAUGCAAGUCGAACGGAAAGGCCCUUCGGGGUACUCGAGUGGCGAACGGGUGAGUAACACGUGGGUGAUCUGCCCUGCACUUUGGGAUAAGCCCGGGAAACUGGGUCUAAUACCGAAUAGGACCACGCGCUUCAUGGUGUGUGGUGGAAAGCUUUUGCGGUGUGGGAUGGGCCCGCGGCCUAUCAGCUUGUUGGUGGGGUAAUGGCCUACCAAGGCGACGACGGGUAGCCGGCCUGAGAGGGUGACCGGCCACACAGGGACUGAGAUACGGCCCAGACUCCUACGGGAGGCAGCAGUGGGGAAUAUUGCACAAUGGGCGCAAGCCUGAUGCAGCGACGCCGCGUGAGGGAUGACGGCCUUCGGGUUGUAAACCUCUUUCAAUAGGGACGAAGCGCAAGUGACGGUACCUAUAGAAGAAGCACCGGCCAACUACGUGCCAGCAGCCGCGGUAAUACGUAGGGUGCGAGCGUUGUCCGGAAUUACUGGGCGUAAAGAGCUCGUAAGUGGUUUGUCGCGUUGUUCGUGAAAACUCACAGCUUAACUGUGGGCGUGCGGGCGAUACGGGCAGACUAGAGUACUGCAGGGGAGACUGGAAUUCCUGGUGUAGCGGUGGAAUGCGCAGAUAUCAGGAGGAACACCGGUGGCGAAGGCGGGUCUCUGGGCAGUAACUGACGCUGAGGAGCGAAAGCGUGGGGAGCGAACAGGAUUAGAUACCCUGGUAGUCCACGCCGUAAACGGUGGGUACUAGGUGUGGGUUCCUUCCUUGGGAUCCGUGCCGUAGCUAACGCAUUAAGUACCCCGCCUGGGGAGUACGGCCGCAAGGCUAAAACUCAAAGGAAUUGACGGGGGCCCGCACAAGCGGCGGAGCAUGUGGAUUAAUUCGAUGCAACGCGAAGAACCUUACCUGGGUUUGACAUGCACAGGACGCCGGCAGAGAUGUCGGUUCCCUUGUGGCCUGUGUGCAGGUGGUGCAUGGCUGUCGUCAGCUCGUGUCGUGAGAUGUUGGGUUAAGUCCCGCAACGAGCGCAACCCUUGUCCUAUGUUGCCAGCGGGUUAUGCCGGGGACUCGUAGGAGACUGCCGGGGUCAACUCGGAGGAAGGUGGGGAUGACGUCAAGUCAUCAUGCCCCUUAUGUCCAGGGCUUCACACAUGCUACAAUGGCCGGUACAAAGGGCUGCGAUGCCGUGAGGUGGAGCGAAUCCUUUCAAAGCCGGUCUCAGUUCGGAUCGGGGUCUGCAACUCGACCCCGUGAAGUCGGAGUCGCUAGUAAUCGCAGAUCAGCAACGCUGCGGUGAAUACGUUCCCGGGCCU
Molecule: ribosomal RNA, 1337 nt
Filed under: uncultured bacterium
Lineage: Bacteria
Description: bacterial SSU rRNA
Rfam family: Bacterial small subunit ribosomal RNA
Source: RNAcentral